CCUACGGGAGGCAGCAGUGGGGAAUAUUGCGCAAUGGGCGAAAGCCUGACGCAGCGACGCCGCGUGAGGGAUGAAGGUCUUCGGAUCGUAAACCUCUGUCAGCAGGGAAGAACGGUCACUGUGCUAAUCAGCAGUGAAUUGACGGUACCUGCAAAGGAAGCACCGGCUAACUCCGUGCCAGCAGCCGCGGUAAUACGGAGGGUGCGAGCGUUAAUAGGAAUGACUGGGCGUAAAGCGCUCGUAGGCGGGAUUGCAAGUCAAUGGUGAAAUCCCGGAGCUAAACGUGGGAACUGCAUUUGAAACUGGCAAACUGGAGUGUGGGAGAGGGUAGUGGAAUUCCAGGUGUAGGAGUGAAAUCCGUAGAUAUCUGGAGGAACAUCAGUGGCGAAGGCGACUAUCUGGAACAUAACUGACGCUGAGGAGCGAAAGCGUGGGUAGCAAACAGGAUUAGAUACCCGGGUAGUC
This 465-nucleotide ribosomal RNA is filed under the name uncultured bacterium. RNAcentral's name for it is "partial 16S ribosomal RNA". It matches the Rfam family "Bacterial small subunit ribosomal RNA", at positions 338 to 795 of the family's 1533-position model. The record is from RNAcentral.